Molecule: ribosomal RNA, 329 nt
Filed under: uncultured eukaryote
Lineage: Eukaryota
Description: partial 18S ribosomal RNA
Rfam family: Eukaryotic small subunit ribosomal RNA
Source: RNAcentral
CCCUUAGAUGUCCCGGGCUGCACGCGCGCUACACUGACGAACUCAACGAGCUUAUCACCUUGGCAGAGAUGUCUGGGUAAUCUUUUGAAAGUUCGUCGUGCUGGGGAUAGAUGAUUGUAAUUAUUCGUCUUGAACGAGGAAUUCCUAGUAAGUGUGAGUCAUCAGCUCGCGCUGAUUACGUCCCUGCCCUUUGUACACACCGCCCGUCGCUCCUACCGAUUGAAUGGUCCGGUGAGGUUCUCGGAUUUUUUCUGUUGUUUGGUUCGCUAAACGAUUGAAGAGAGAAGUUACCCAAACCUUACCAUUUAGAGGAAGGAGAAGUCGUAACA